RNAcentral lists this ribosomal RNA (406 nucleotides) under uncultured bacterium. RNAcentral's name for it is "partial 16S ribosomal RNA". It matches the Rfam family "Bacterial small subunit ribosomal RNA", at positions 30 to 526 of the family's 1533-position model. The record is from RNAcentral.
AUUGAACGCUGGCGGCAGGCCUAACACAUGCAAGUCGAGCGAGCGGCGGACGGGGGAGUAAUGUCUGGGAAAAUGCCUGAUGGAGGGGGAUAAAUACUGGAAAAGGUAGCUAAUAUCGCAUACCAUCAGAUGUGCCCAGAUGGGGUUAGCUCGUAGGUGGGGUAAUGGCUCACCUAGGCGACGCUCCCUAGCUGGUCUGAGAGGAUGACCAGCCACACUGGAACUGAGACACGGUCCAGACUCCUACGGGAGGCAGCAGUGGGGAAUAUUGCACAAUGGGCGCAAGCCUGAUGCAGCCAUGCCGCGUGUGUGAAGAAGGCCUUCGGGUUGUAAAGCACUUUCAGCGGGGAGGCGUUACCCGCAGAAGAAGCACCGGCUAACUCCGUGCCAGCAGCCGCGGUAAUUC